AGCAAACAUUGUAUAGAACUCUAGCUUGCAAAUCAUUCUUUUUUUAAAAAAAAGUUUUAGUUGUAGACACACACACAAUAGCUUUAUUUUAUUUAUUUAUUUUUAUGUAGUGCUGAGGAGCAAAUCCAGUGCCUCACAUGUGCUUGGCAAAUGCUCUACCACUGAGUACAACCCCAGCCCCACAAAUCAUUCUUUUUUUUUAUUAUUUAAAGAGAGAGAGAGAGAGAGAGAGAGAGAGAGAGAGAGAGAGAGAGAAUUUUUUUAAUAUUUAUUUUUUGGUUUUCGGUGAACACAACAUCUUUAUUUUUAUGUGGUGCUGAGGAUCAAACCCAGUGUCCCGUGCAUGCCAGCCUCACAAAUCAUUCUUUUACAUAAAAUUUCACUUAAUCCUUACAUCAACCUUAUAAUAUAUUAUUUCCACUUACAUAUGAAGGAAUACAGCUAAUUCCUGCUAACUAACUUUUGCAAAAUCACAGAACUAACUAGUAAAUAGAGAAUUCCCUAGACUUGACCCCACACCUUUCCCAGUUAGCAAAAAUAAUCAGUGGUUAGGUUAAUUGGAAUCUGAUGUCUCUAUCAUGUUUCACUUUGAAUUAUUCUUCACCAUUUAAAGUGAAAGACACUUUGAGGUACCUCAGACAGUUCACUGACUGUUCUGUCAGCUAAGAGAGAUGGGGACAGGAGACAAUUUGC
RNAcentral lists this long non-coding RNA (693 nucleotides) under Marmota monax (woodchuck). Lineage: Eukaryota; Metazoa; Chordata; Mammalia; Rodentia; Sciuridae. The record is from RNAcentral.